This 1141-nucleotide ribosomal RNA is filed under the name uncultured bacterium. RNAcentral describes it as "bacterial SSU rRNA". It matches the Rfam family "Bacterial small subunit ribosomal RNA", at positions 380 to 1499 of the family's 1533-position model. The record is from RNAcentral.
CCCUUGAUGCACGCACCGCGGCGUAAGUGAAGAAGUAUUUCGGUAAGUUAAGCUUAAUCAGCAGGGGAGGAAAAGUGACCGGUACCUUGAGUUAAGGAAGCCCCCCGGCCUAACUUACGGUCGCAAGGCAGCCCGGCCGGUAAAUACCGUAGGGGGGGCAGAGCGUUAAUUCGGGGAUUUACCUGGGGUGUAAAAGGGAGCGGUAGACCGGCGAGGGCAAGUCUGAAGUGAAGGCCCCUGUGCUUAACGCAGGAACUGCUUUGGAAACUGUUUGGCUGGAGUGCCGGAGAGGUAAGCGGAAUUCUUAGUGUAGCGGUGAAAUGCGUAGAUAUUAGGAAGAACACCAGUGGCGAAGGCGGCUUACUGGACGGUAACUGACGUUGAGGCUUCGAAAGCGUGGGGAGCAAACAGGAUUAGAUACCCUGGUAGUCCACGCGGUAAACGAUGAUUGCUAGGUGUAGGUGGGUAUGGACCCAUCGGUGCCGCAGCUAACGCAGUAAGCAAUCCACCUGGGGAGUACGUUCGCAAGAUUUAAAACUCAAAGAAAUUGACCGGAACCCCGCACAAGCGGUGGAGUAUGUGGCUUAAUUCGAUGCAACGCGAAGAACCUUACCCAGGGCUUGACAUCCCGCGAAGACUCGUGAAAGCGAGGGAUACCCUUCGGGGACGCGGAGACAGGUGCUGCAUGGCCGUCGUCAGCUCGUGUCGUGAGAUGUUUGGUUAAGUCCAGCAACGAGCGCAACCCCUGCUGCCGGUUACCAGCGAGUAAAGUCGGGGACUCAGGCGGGACUGCCCAGAUCAACUGGGAGGAAGGUGGGGACGACGUCAGGUCAGUAUGGCCCUUACGCCCUGGGCUGCACACGUACUACAAUGCCCAGUACAGAGGGAGGCGAGUCGGAGACGGCAAGCGGAUCCCAAAAAGUGGGCACAGUUCGGAUUGGAGGCUGCAACUCGCCUCCAUGAAGUCGGAAUCGCUAGUAAUGGCGCAUCAGCAACGGCGCCGUGAAUACGUUCCCGGGUCUUGUACACACCGCCCGUCACAUCAUGGAAGCCGGUUUCACCCGAAGUAUCGGGAGCCAACCGCAAGGGGGCAUGGUCCUAAGGAGAGACUGGUAACUGGGAUGAAGUCGUAACAAGGUAG